RNAcentral lists this ribosomal RNA (253 nucleotides) under uncultured bacterium. RNAcentral describes it as "partial 16S ribosomal RNA". It matches the Rfam family "Bacterial small subunit ribosomal RNA", at positions 524 to 776 of the family's 1533-position model. The record is from RNAcentral.
UACGUAGGUGGCAAGCGUUAUCCGGAAUUACUGGGCGUAAAACGCACGCAGGCGGCGCAGCAAGUUCGACGUGAAAGCUCCCGGCUUAACUGGGAGAGGUCGUUGAAGACUGCUGUGCUUGAGGCAAUGAGAGGGGUGUAGAAUUCCCGGUGUAGUGGUGGAAUGCGUAGAUAUCGGGGGGAAUACCAGUGGCGAAAGCGGCACCCUAGCAUUAGCCUGACGCUCAUGUGCGAAAGCGUGGGGAGCAAACAGG